Molecule: ribosomal RNA, 433 nt
Filed under: uncultured bacterium
Lineage: Bacteria
Description: partial 16S ribosomal RNA
Rfam family: Bacterial small subunit ribosomal RNA
Source: RNAcentral
AACGAACGCUGGCGGCAUGCCUAACACAUGCAAGUCGAACGAGACCUUCGGGUCUAGUGGCGCACGGGUGCGUAACGCGUGGGAACCUGCCCUUAGGUUCGGAAUAACUCCCCGAAAGGGGUGCUAAUACCGGAUAAUGUCUUCGGACCAAAGAUUUAUCGCCUUUGGAUGGGCCCGCGUUGGAUUAGCUAGUUGGUAGGGUAAAAGCCUACCAAGGCGACGAUCCAUAGCUGGUCUGAGAGGAUGAUCAGCCACACUGGGACUGAGACACGGCCCAGACUCCUACGGGAGGCAGCAGUGGGGAAUAAUGGACGAUGGGCGAAAGCCUGAUCCCGCCAUGCCGCGUGAGUGAUGAAUGCCUUAGGGUUGGAAAGCUCUUUUACCCGGGAUGAUAAUGACAGUACCGGGAGAAUAAGCUCCGGCUAACUCCGUG